This 497-nucleotide ribosomal RNA is filed under the name uncultured bacterium. Its description in RNAcentral is "partial 16S ribosomal RNA". It matches the Rfam family "Bacterial small subunit ribosomal RNA", at positions 28 to 507 of the family's 1533-position model. The record is from RNAcentral.
GAUGAACGCUGGCGGCGUGCCUAAUACAUGCCAGUCGAGCGAACGGACGAGAAGCUUGCUUCUCUGAUGUUAGCGGCGGACGGGUGAGUAACACGUGGAUAACCUACCUAUAAGACUGGGAUAACUUCGGGAAACCGGAGCUAAUACCGGAUAAUAUUUUGAACCGCAUGGUUCAAAAGUGAAAGACGGUCUUGCUGUCACUUAUAGAUGGAUCCGCGCUGCAUUAGCUAGUUGGUAAGGUAACGGCUUACCAAGGCAACGAUGCAUAGCCGACCUGAGAGGGUGAUCGGCCACACUGGAACUGAGACACGGUCCAGACUCCUACGGAAGGCAGCAGUAGGGAAUCUUCCGCAAUGGGCGAAAGCCUGACGGAGCAACGCCGCGUGAGUGAUGAAGGUCUUCGGAUCGUAAAACUCUGUUAUUAGGGAAGAACAUAUGUGUAAGUAACUGUGCACAUCUUGACGGUACCUAAUCAGAAAGCCACGGCUAACUACGUG